UUGCGGUCGGAAAUCGUACGUAGAGUGUAAAGGCAAAAGAGAGCUUGAUUGCAAGACAUACAGGUCGAGCAAGGAUGAAAAUCGGACUUAGUGAUCCGGUGGUUCUGCGUGGAAGGGCCAUCGCUCAACG
This 130-nucleotide ribosomal RNA is filed under the name Clostridioides difficile. RNAcentral's name for it is "partial 23S ribosomal RNA". It matches the Rfam family "Bacterial large subunit ribosomal RNA", at positions 2325 to 2454 of the family's 2925-position model. The record is from RNAcentral. Lineage: Bacteria; Bacillati; Bacillota; Clostridia; Peptostreptococcales; Peptostreptococcaceae.